GACGAACGCUGGCUGCGUGCUUAACACAUGCAAGUCGAACGGUAAGGCUCCAGCUUGCUGGGGUACACGAGUGGCGAACGGGUGAGUAACACGUGGGUGACCUGCCCUGCACUUCGGGAUAAGCCUGGGAAACUGGGUCUAAUACCGGAUAGGACCAUGGUGUGGAUGCUGUGGUGGAAAGUUUUUUCGGUGUGGGAUGGGCCCGCGGCCUAUCAGCUUGUUGGUGGGGUAAUGGCCUACCAAGGCGGCGACGGGUAGCCGGCCUGAGAGGGUGGACGGCCACAUUGGGACUGAGACACGGCCCAGACUCCUACGGGAGGCAGCAGUGGGGAAUAUUGCACAAUGGGCGGAAGCCUGAUGCAGCGACGCCGCGUGGGGGAUGACGGCCUUCGGGUUGUAAACUCCUUUCACCAUCGACGAAGGGUUUCUGACGGUAGAUGGAGAAGAAGCACCGGCUAACUACGUGCCAGCAGCCGCGGUAAUACGUAGGGUGCGAGCGUUGUCCGGAAUUACUGGGCGUAAAGAGCUCGUAGGUGGUUUGUCGCGUCGUCUGUGAAAUUCCGGGGCUUAACUCCGGGCGUGCAGGCGAUACGGGCAUAACUUGAGUACUGUAGGGGAGACUGGAAUUCCUGGUGUAGCGGUGAAAUGCGCAGAUAUCAGGAGGAACACCGGU
This 673-nucleotide ribosomal RNA is filed under the name Streptosporangium sp. SD9. Its description in RNAcentral is "bacterial SSU rRNA". It matches the Rfam family "Bacterial small subunit ribosomal RNA", at positions 28 to 713 of the family's 1533-position model. Lineage: Bacteria; Bacillati; Actinomycetota; Actinomycetes; Streptosporangiales; Streptosporangiaceae. The record is from RNAcentral.